CUCGGGUCCUGAGAGGAAUGGAGAGUCGCCUCAGAGUUUCAUUCUUCUGUCUUUCAGUCCUGCUUCUACACAAGCCAGCCGGACAGAGGACAAGGAGGUUAAGUGACUUUCUCAGAAUCACACACAGUGAGUUAGUGGGUGAGCUGGGAUUGAACUGGGAACCUCCUGGCUACAAGCACCUUUCUCUCACCACUGGACCACCAAGCCUCUUCAUUACUUUAAACCACAAGCCCACCAAAUAUCCAUUUACUUCCUCUACCUUGUGAAGACAUUGUUCCACCAGACCCCAUUCUG
Molecule: long non-coding RNA, 294 nt
Organism: Acipenser ruthenus (sterlet)
Lineage: Eukaryota; Metazoa; Chordata; Actinopteri; Acipenseriformes; Acipenseridae
Exons: 3
Source: RefSeq, a predicted model, not a curated record